This 556-nucleotide ribosomal RNA is filed under the name uncultured Aspergillus. RNAcentral describes it as "SSU rRNA". It matches the Rfam family "Eukaryotic small subunit ribosomal RNA", at positions 194 to 755 of the family's 1831-position model. Lineage: Eukaryota; Fungi; Ascomycota; Eurotiomycetes; Eurotiales; Aspergillaceae. The record is from RNAcentral.
GGAAGGGGUGUAUUUAUUAGAUAAAAAACCAAUGCCCUUCGGGGCUCCUUGGUGAAUCAUAAUAACUUAACGAAUCGCAUGGCCUUGCGCCGGCGAUGGUUCAUUCAAAUUUCUGCCCUAUCAACUUUCGAUGGUAGGAUAGUGGCCUACCAUGGUGGCAACGGGUAACGGGGAAUUAGGGUUCGAUUCCGGAGAGGGAGCCUGAGAAACGGCUACCACAUCCAAGGAAGGCAGCAGGCGCGCAAAUUACCCAAUCCCGACACGGGGAGGUAGUGACAAUAAAUACUGAUACGGGGCUCUUUUGGGUCUCGUAAUUGGAAUGAGUACAAUCUAAAUCCCUUAACGAGGAACAAUUGGAGGGCAAGUCUGGUGCCAGCAGUCGCGGUAAUUCCAGCUCCAAUAGCGUAUAUUAAAGUUGUUGCAGUUAAAAAGCUCGUAGUUGAACCUUGGGUCUGGCUGGCCGGUCCGCCUCACCGCGAGUACUGGUCCGGCUGGACCUUUCCUUCUGGGGAAUCUCAUGGCCUUCACUGGCUGUGGGGGGAACCAGGACUUUUAC